This 1254-nucleotide long non-coding RNA is filed under the name Homo sapiens (human). RNAcentral describes it as "HSALNT0180584". The record is from RNAcentral. Lineage: Eukaryota; Metazoa; Chordata; Mammalia; Primates; Hominidae.
GGUGGCAGAUCAAUGAGACCUUUAUCCCAUUAGCCUGCCCUAGUAUCUGAUAUUCCUCAAGCUGAGACUUAAUUCUUUUGGUUUCAGGUACUGUAUUUGUAAGAUUCUCUCAUUCACAAAAUUCUAUCAAAUUUUCAGGGUUUACCCAUUUAUUAGUUAUUUUAACUUCACAUCAUAACUCUGACAUCACAUAGAAGUUAUUAAUACCCAAUGAUAGAAAAGAAAACUGAAUCUCAACACAAUUACAUAAUUUGUUCAAGAAAUCACAGCAACAAAUUGGGCCUUCUGACUUGAGUCUAGAGCCUUUCACCAACAUCAAGUAGUACUAAUGAUAUUUUACUGUAAGUAUUUUAACUGGGGCUAUUAUGAGUUCAUUUCCCUUAUCUCAUCUCUUCUUCCUUCCAUACAAUUUUUUUUCAGACAACUUCUCGUUUAUGUUGUUUUGUAAGCAUCCCUCCCACCAGGUUCUGGCUUUGUUUUGUAUGAUUUAUUUCUAUUGGCUCCAUCAUGACCUCUCAGGGCACUUGGAAGAUCCUGUUGUAAAGCUCUGAAGCUCUUGACAGUCUAUCUGUUGGGAUUCCCUCUGGGUAGUUUCAAAGAUGAGUUCAGGGAUAGAGUUGCAGCUGCAGAUAUGAACCAGGUCUUCAGAGAGGUGACAGAAAGAACUAAAGGGAGAGAGAGAAAUGUAAAUUUGCAUUAAUUGAAAUUUUUUUAGUUACAGUGGCAAUACCGUAAUACAGUAGUCUAAGCUAAAACAGGAAAUUCACUGGAUCAUAUCACAAGAUGGAAAACCAGAGUGGGUUAGGGUAAAUGGAAACUGGCUUAGGGACAGCUGUGGCCAGGGACUUAAAUGGCAGGAUGGUAUCCACUUCUCAUCCUUUACAUAAUCGUGGUUCUUGUUUAGGCAAAAUGGGCUCUUUGAUAACAAAACUCUUACCCAAAAAGUCACAGCAAGCCUUCAGAGUUCUCAGCACAACCUUCCAGAGUCACCUCUUGCAGCACUUUCCUACAUAGUACUGUAGACACAGCCCAUUGGCAUCCUAGAGAUGGCAUUCUGAAGAGAAAGCAGGAUCUCAACUCCUCUCAAGGUGUUCCUCCCUCCCUUGAAGGUCAGGAUGUCUUGUGCUGGCACAUCCUUUGGUGGGUCAGUAGAUGGCAGUGUGUCUGAAUCUAGUAUGUAUGGUAGGGGAAAGCUUUUUAGCAUUUCCCAAGAAAAUGAAGGUUUUGAAAGCUGUGAGGCAGCAUGGGGCCUAG